RNAcentral lists this ribosomal RNA (253 nucleotides) under uncultured bacterium. RNAcentral describes it as "partial 16S ribosomal RNA". It matches the Rfam family "Bacterial small subunit ribosomal RNA", at positions 524 to 776 of the family's 1533-position model. The record is from RNAcentral.
UACGUAGGGUGCGAGCGUUAAUCGGAAUUACUGGGCGUAAAGCGUGCGCAGGCGGUUCGUUGUGUCGGCGGUGAAAGCCCCGGGCUUAACCUGGGAAUGGCAUGGGAAACUGGCGGGCUGGAGUGUGGCAGAGGGGGGUGGAAUUCCGCGUGUAGCAGUGAAAUGCGUAGAGAUGCGGAGGAACACCGAUGGCGAAGGCAGCCCCCUGGGCUAACACUGACGCUCAGGCACGAAAGCGUGGGGAGCAAACAGG